ACAAUUAAAUUUAUAGUAAGAGGAAAAUCCGUUGACUUUUUAAAUCGUGAG
Molecule: transfer RNA, 51 nt
Filed under: Quinchamalium chilense
Lineage: Eukaryota; Viridiplantae; Streptophyta; Magnoliopsida; Santalales; Schoepfiaceae
Description: partial tRNA-Leu
Source: RNAcentral